Molecule: long non-coding RNA, 298 nt
Organism: Anopheles nili
Lineage: Eukaryota; Metazoa; Arthropoda; Insecta; Diptera; Culicidae
Exons: 5
Source: RefSeq, a predicted model, not a curated record
CGCAUGUGAGAACGUACGUAGAUAAAAGAUGUUACAAGCUGGCAGUAAUAAACGAUUCAGCUGUACAUUUGAAAUUAUAGUGAACAUCAUUAUGGAAUAUUCACCAGCUAUGAAUAACAUAUGUGGUCCUAGAUUUGCCGCAUGUGAGAACGUACGUAGAUAAAAGAUGUUACAAGCUGGCAGUAAUAAACGAUUCAGCUGUACAUUUGAAAUUAUAGUGAACAUCAUUAUGGAAUAUUCACCAGUUAUGAAUAACAUAUGUGGUCCUAGAUAUGCCGCAUGUGAGAACGUACGUAGA